ACCGGCACUGUAUUGACAUACAGAAUGCCACCAAGCUUGACCAACACAUUCAUCACCAAUUACGAUACUGGGCUGCUCUCCAAUUGGUUGUAUUUCCUGUGAUUCGACCACUUCUUGUUGUUGUAUAAAACAAAGUACUGGCUUCAAUAGCAUCAUUUGCAUUUGAUAAUUUGGAUAGUUUUGUUUACUUUUAUUAUUUAUUAAUAUCUUUAUGUAAUAUAUAAUUA
This is a non-coding RNA of Paramuricea clavata, 227 nucleotides long. The record is from the annotation of a GenBank genome assembly. NCBI's taxonomy places the organism in Eukaryota, Metazoa, Cnidaria, Anthozoa, Malacalcyonacea, Plexauridae.